Molecule: long non-coding RNA, 838 nt
Organism: Papaver somniferum (opium poppy)
Lineage: Eukaryota; Viridiplantae; Streptophyta; Magnoliopsida; Ranunculales; Papaveraceae
Exons: 3
Source: RefSeq, a predicted model, not a curated record
UCUCUCUUUGUUAUCUUCAGAGGAGAGCAACUGAUAUCGUAUCCUCAGAAAUAUUAUUCAUCUUCUCCGUUCUUCUCAAUUAACCUAACGCCUCACUGAAACAAAAACAAAUCAACCCGAAGAAUCUCUCGCCAAUCAUCCAUGAAAAAGGUGGGAUCAGAUGAACAAGAAACAACGACGAAACUUUGAAGAAAUUUCUCAAAUGGAUUCAUUACAGGGUAAAGCUUCAGUUCUCAUCCACGUCAAAGUCCAAAAAAUUUCGGCCCUUUAACUUAGGUUUUUUGUUCAUGCCCGACACCAGAACCUUUGGGAGCACAAAAGCGAAUAGUACAACAGCAUCAUAGCUCAGUUUUGAGUACCUUGGAAAGUUGUGAGCAGUGAACUCGAUAAGCUUUCUAGGCUGAAUGAGAAGAGUAGCAGUGAGUUGAUAUCAAUGCAAAAGGCAAAUGGGUUUGUUGCUACUGCAUUGCACAACUGAAACAUGACUAAAAGAUGAAAGAAGGUGGUACAAGACCUGCAGAUUGUUAUGGAAGCUGUGUGACACAAUCUCGGAAGUAAAAGGUGAUAUUACGAUGAAAACAGUUGAUACCAGAACUAACCAUGUCCAGUGGAAAGAUGUCUCUGCUUCUAUAUUAAGUAUUGCCAAUUUGUAUAUACAUAUACUACGUCCUUUUGAGUAGGUACAUUUUUUACCCAAUUUUAUAAAGUCCACUCUGAAUACAUUCCCGCCCUUUGUAAACCUUGGCUAUAAUAAAUGAAUGGAACUAUGUAAUCAGCACAAUAAAAAUUUUGGUAUGAGGUUCACCUAUACUUUAUGUGAUCGACAAUAAAGGUUUUG